RNAcentral lists this long non-coding RNA (251 nucleotides) under Apteryx rowi (Okarito brown kiwi). RNAcentral's name for it is "lncRNA (ENSARWG00000009654.1)". Lineage: Eukaryota; Metazoa; Chordata; Aves; Apterygiformes; Apterygidae. The record is from RNAcentral.
AUGGAACAGAGGAUGCAUACAAAAUGCAAUCAGAAACCUGCCUCUGUGCCUCGUUUUUUCUUCUACAUGACUUCCACCUGCAGGUCGGCCUGGAUACUGCGCUUUGUGGCAAAACCAGCUGGAACAGCACGUAGGUCCUACUUUUCCAGCAGAAGGCUGGAAGAACUGUGGCUUAUUUUGGAGGACCUUACUCUGGCUUUCUAAUAAGAACAAACAGGCAGACUCUGCAGAGAUACUGACAUUCUUCCAUG